AUAUACUCAAAACUUAUGUUUUGGUAAUGGGCAUGUAUCUGGCGCCAGCUAGAUUUGCCUGAAAUAUAGUGGUAGAGAUCGCUAGAGGUGAUGCAAGUUAGCCGAUGCUAUUAAAGUUAAUUCGUUGGUGACACAUGCUGAGCUUUUGGUGAAGUCUUCCUUAAUUAUUGGAAUUUUUUCUAA
Molecule: unclassified non-coding RNA, 183 nt
Filed under: uncultured Lipomyces
Lineage: Eukaryota; Fungi; Ascomycota; Lipomycetes; Lipomycetales; Lipomycetaceae
Description: sequence contains ITS2
Source: RNAcentral